Molecule: long non-coding RNA, 178 nt
Organism: Oryzias melastigma (Indian medaka)
Lineage: Eukaryota; Metazoa; Chordata; Actinopteri; Beloniformes; Adrianichthyidae
Exons: 3
Source: RefSeq, a predicted model, not a curated record
AAGACAAGAAAAAGAAGAAAAAGAAGGAUAAGAAGAAGAAGAAGAAGGAUUCUUCUUCCAGUGAUUCUUCUGGAGAGGAUAAGAAGAAGAAGAAGAAGGAUAAGAAGAAGAAGAAAGACAAGAAAAAAGACUCCUCUAAUUCUGACGACAGCGACAAGGAAAACAAAGAAAAGAAGGA